CCAGCUCCAAUAGCGUAUAUUAAAGUUGUUGCAGUUAAAUAGCUCGUAGUUGAAUCUUGGGCCUGGUUUGGCGGUCGCGCUUUAGGGCGUGUACUGUCGGCCGGGUCUUUUACUUGCGGGGAACGUGCGUGCCUCUCGGGGUGUGUACGGGAACCGUGGCUAUUACUUUGAAAAAAUUAGAGUGUUUAAAGCAGGCGUAAGCUUGUAUACAUUAGCAUGGAAUAAUAGAAUAGGACUUUGGUUUUAUUUUGUUGGUUUCUAGGGCCGAAGUAAUGAUUAAUAGGGAUAGUUGGGGGCAUUAGUAUUUAAUAGUCAGAGGUGAAAUUCUUGGAUUUAUGAAAGACUAACUUCUGCGAAAGCAUUUGCCAAGGAUGUUUUCA
RNAcentral lists this ribosomal RNA (380 nucleotides) under uncultured Rhizoclosmatium. RNAcentral describes it as "SSU rRNA". It matches the Rfam family "Eukaryotic small subunit ribosomal RNA", at positions 585 to 972 of the family's 1831-position model. The record is from RNAcentral. Lineage: Eukaryota; Fungi; Chytridiomycota; Chytridiomycetes; Chytridiales; Chytriomycetaceae.